This 342-nucleotide ribosomal RNA is filed under the name uncultured Pseudomonadota bacterium. RNAcentral's name for it is "bacterial SSU rRNA". It matches the Rfam family "Bacterial small subunit ribosomal RNA", at positions 29 to 351 of the family's 1533-position model. The record is from RNAcentral. Lineage: Bacteria; Pseudomonadati; Pseudomonadota.
AACGAACGCUGGCGGCGUGCUUAACACAUGCAAGUCGAACGAGAAAGCCUGGGCAACUGGGUGAGUAAAGUGGCGCACGGGUGAGUAACACGUGGGUAACCUACCCUUGAGUUCGGGAUAACACCACGAAAGCGGUGCUAAUACCGGAUAAUAUCCCUUUAGCCUUCGGGUUCGAGGAUCAAAGAUGGCCUCUGCUUGCAUGCUAUCGUUCAGGGAUGGGCCCGCGCACCAUUAGCUUGUUGGUAGGGUAACGGCCUACCAAGGCUACGAUGGUUAGCUGGUCUGAGAGGAUGGCCAGCCACACUGGAACUGAGACACGGUCCAGACACCUACGGGUGGCUG